CAUUAAGAAGCUACAGCAGCGUUAACCUUUUAAGUUAAAGAAGGGGCCCUGACUCCCCCUUAAUGA
Molecule: transfer RNA, 66 nt
Filed under: Petrodromus tetradactylus (four-toed elephant shrew)
Lineage: Eukaryota; Metazoa; Chordata; Mammalia; Macroscelidea; Macroscelididae
Description: tRNA-Lys
Source: RNAcentral